GAUGAACGCUAGCUACAGGCUUAACACAUGCAAGUCGAGGGGUAACGAGAGGAAAGCUUGCUUUCCUUGUCGACGACCGGCGCACGGGUGAGUAACGCGUAUCCAACCUGCCCCCGACUAGGGAAUAACCUUGCGAAAGUAAGGCUAAUACCCUAUAAUUUCCUCAGAUGACAUCUGACGAGGAAUAAAGAUUUAUCGGUUGUGGAUGGGGAUGCGUCUGAUUAGCUUGUUGGCGGGGUAACGACCCACCAAGGCAACGAUCAGUAGGGGUUCUGAGAGGAAGGUCCGCCACAUUGGAACUGAGACACUGUCCAAACUCCUACGGGAGGCAGCAGUGAGGAAUAUUGGUCAAUGGGCGGAAGCCUGAACCAGCCAAGUAGCGUGCAGGAUGACGGCCCUAUGGGUUGUAAACUGCUUUUAUACAGGAAUAAAGUUAGCCACGUGUGGUUAUUUGUAGGUACUGUAUGAAUAAGGACCGGCUAAUUCCGUGCCAGCAGCCGCAGUAA
This 506-nucleotide ribosomal RNA is filed under the name uncultured bacterium. Its description in RNAcentral is "partial 16S ribosomal RNA". It matches the Rfam family "Bacterial small subunit ribosomal RNA", at positions 28 to 523 of the family's 1533-position model. The record is from RNAcentral.